RNAcentral lists this ribosomal RNA (482 nucleotides) under uncultured bacterium. RNAcentral's name for it is "partial 16S ribosomal RNA". It matches the Rfam family "Bacterial small subunit ribosomal RNA", at positions 30 to 507 of the family's 1533-position model. The record is from RNAcentral.
AUUGAACGCUGGCGGCAUGCUUUACACAUGCAAGUCGAACGGUAACAGGCCGCAAGGUGCUGACGAGUGGCGAACGGGUGAGUAAUGCAUCGGAACGUGCCCAGUCGUGGGGGAUAACUACUCGAAAGAGUAGCUAAUACCGCAUACGAUCUAUGGAUGAAAGCGGGGGACCGUAAGGCCUCGCGCGAUUGGAGCGGCCGAUGUCAGAUUAGGUAGUUGGUGGGGUAAAGGCUCACCAAGCCAACGAUCUGUAGCUGGUCUGAGAGGACAACCAGCCACACUGGGACUGAGACACGGCCCAGACUCCUACGGGAGGCAGCAGUGGGGAAUUUUGGACAAUGGGCGCAAGCCUGAUCCAGCAAUGCCGCGUGCAGGAAGAAGGCCUUCGGGUUGUAAACCGCUUUUGUACGGAACGAAACGGCUCUGGUUAAUACCCGGGGCUAAUGACGGUACCGUAAGAAUAAGCACCGGCUAACUACGUG